UAGUCCACGCCCUAAACGAUGAAUGUUAGUCGUCGGGUAGCUAGUCUAUUCGGUGAUGCAGCUAACGCAUUAAACAUUCCGCCUGGGGAGUACGGUCGCAAGAUUAAAACUCAAAGGAAUAGACGGGGACCCGCACAAGUGGUGGAGCAUGUGGUUUAAUUCGAAGAUACGCGAAGAACCUUACCUAGCCUUGACAUAUUUUAGAACACUUUAGAGAUAGAGUGGUGCCUUCGGGAGCUAAUAUACAGGUGCUGCACGGCUGUCGUCAGCUCGUGUCGUGAGAUGUUGGGUUAAGUCCCGCAACGAGCGCAACCCUCGUCACUAGUUACUAACGGUUCGGCCGAGGACUCUAGUGAGACUGCCUUCGCAAGGGAGGAGGAAGGUGGGGAUGACGUCAAGUCAUCAUGGGCCCUUAUGGGGCUGGGGCUACACACGUGCUACAAUGGUCGGUACAGACGGCUGCAACCCC
Molecule: ribosomal RNA, 469 nt
Filed under: uncultured bacterium
Lineage: Bacteria
Description: bacterial SSU rRNA
Rfam family: Bacterial small subunit ribosomal RNA
Source: RNAcentral